RNAcentral lists this long non-coding RNA (1161 nucleotides) under Oryctolagus cuniculus (rabbit). RNAcentral describes it as "lncRNA (ENSOCUG00000035147.1)". Lineage: Eukaryota; Metazoa; Chordata; Mammalia; Lagomorpha; Leporidae. The record is from RNAcentral.
CCUAUUUACAAAUAUUUCUUUUAAUAUAAAUAUAGAUUAAAUUUCUUGCAGUGUUAUUAGUAUAACUAAUUUGUAGGUUUAAUUAACAUUUGGUCAUGGUGGGGUUACGUCCCUUUUAAAUUGGUUGUGUUCCAAAUGAGUUGGUAUUGUUAAUUUGUAGCUUAUAAACACACACUUAAAUAAUCAACAUGGCAGUUAGCUCUAUAACAUAUAAAAGACACAGGUUUUAGAGUUGCAAAAUAGAUUUCUUAUUUCUGCUUUUAAAAAUGAUUUGUUUUUUCCCUUUAAACACAUUACCCACAUGAGCUUGUCAUGUUGUCGUUUUAGUGGAGGGAAGUCCACAAAUUCUAAAAACAACAAGAUUUCCACAGGAUUUGCUGUCGUUUACUCUGUGGCCAAGGGGAUGAUUCAAUAUGAAUUUGGAGAGUUAUAGGAAUAGAGGUUGUUGGCGCCCAGCCAUCGUGGGAGGAACCCUGUGACCCUUCUCAGGACUCUUGUGGGCAUAGCUACAGAGUACCACAGGGUGGCAGCCUUUGUGAAAAGGACUCCAGGUCUCAGUCCGAUUCUAGCACUUUCCUUCUUCCAUCAGGGUAGAACAUCCGUGCAUUUUACGACAGAAAUGCCUCACAGCUGUGAAGCCUCCAUUUCCUAGAAUGCUGGAUGAGGAAGUAUUUCCCAGCGGCAAUGCACUACGCAGUCAGGGACAGGGACCAGGAGAAGCGAGGCGUUCUUGUUCUGCUCUGUUGGUGCCUUCAGCAAUCCCAGGUUCCCUUGCACCAGUGGUGGGAGGCUGAGGAGAAACUGGCUGAGGAGGCUUGCUGGCUUCUUUCCUGGAAAAGAAUUCCUGUGGUUUUAGGGGCAGCUUCAUGGUCAAACAGAUCAGGCAUAUCGUAAUCUGGAGAUGUUUUUAGAUUUUUCUUUCCCGUAUUCACAUCCUCUUCAUUUACAGAUAUCUUUGUAUGUCACUGGUCUAGACAACUUUGAAUUUUACUUAGUACCUGAUGGCAUUGUUCAAGAGUUUAUCCACAAUCAAAGUUUGUAACCAUAUUUGUCCUACCACAAUUUCUCUUGCUUGUUUUUUGUCCCUAAGAAAUAUUUCCUUAUAAUUGUUAUGCCCUCUGUAGUAAUAAAGAACAAAGCUUCUGCCUUAGCUUAUUGAAG